UACGAAGGGGGCUAGCGUUGCUCGGAAUCACUGGGCGUAAAGCGCACGUAGGCGGAUUGCUAAGUCAGGGGUGAAAUCCCGGAGCUCAACUUCGGAACUGCCCUUGAUACAGCACGUCUUGAGUCCGGAAGAGGUGGGUGGAAUUCCUAGUGUAGAGGUGAAAUUCGUAGAUAUUAGGAAGAACACCGGUGGCGAAGGCGGCCCACUGGUCCGGUACUGACGCUGAGGUGCGAAAGCGUGGGGAGCAAACAGG
This 253-nucleotide ribosomal RNA is filed under the name uncultured bacterium. RNAcentral describes it as "partial 16S ribosomal RNA". It matches the Rfam family "Bacterial small subunit ribosomal RNA", at positions 524 to 776 of the family's 1533-position model. The record is from RNAcentral.